CAGUAGCCGCGGUAAUACGGAGGGGGCUAGCGUUGUUCGGAAUUACUGGGCGUAAAGCGCACGUAGGCGGCUUGGUAAGUUAGAGGUGAAAGCCCGGAGCUCAACUCCGGAAUUGCCUUUAAGACUGCCGAGCUAGCAGGUGAGAGAGGUAAGUGGAAUUCCGAGUGUAGAGGUAAAAUUCGUAGAUAUUCGGAAGAACACCAGUGGCGAAGGCGGCUUACUGGCUCAUACUGGACGCUGAGGUGCGAAAGCGUGGGGAGCAAACAGGAUUAGAUACCCGAGUAGUCCCUGUCUAUUAUAC
Molecule: ribosomal RNA, 301 nt
Filed under: uncultured bacterium
Lineage: Bacteria
Description: partial 16S ribosomal RNA
Rfam family: Bacterial small subunit ribosomal RNA
Source: RNAcentral